This 351-nucleotide small RNA is filed under the name Pongo abelii (Sumatran orangutan). Its description in RNAcentral is "processed transcript". The record is from RNAcentral. Lineage: Eukaryota; Metazoa; Chordata; Mammalia; Primates; Hominidae.
AUGCAGCUGUUCUCUUAGUUACAUUGGCAGAUUGUGUGUUGUCAAUGUUGACUAUUGCUUAGGGAACCAGAGUAUAUCAGUGCAUGGCCUCUGCCUGGCCCUUUCGCACAAGUGUAACUGUAUCAGUCUGCAAAGAUAUGAAAGGAACAUCUGUGAGAUAGAUACUGAAGACUGCAAAUCUGUGUCCUGCAAAAAUGGAACAACUAGUAUACAUUUAAGGGGAUAUUUCUUCUGCAAGUGUGUCCCAGGAUUUAAAGGCAAGUUUUUUUUUUUCCUGAUAAAUCAAAUUUUCUAGUAAAUAGUUGUUAAUAUAUUUAUUUGAUAUAUCUCAGAUGUGUCUAUUGAUUGGUA